RNAcentral lists this non-coding RNA (23 nucleotides) under Arabidopsis thaliana (thale cress). The record is from RNAcentral. Lineage: Eukaryota; Viridiplantae; Streptophyta; Magnoliopsida; Brassicales; Brassicaceae.
UCAUUAGGGAGAAUCUUCUGGUU